This 204-nucleotide long non-coding RNA is filed under the name Mytilus galloprovincialis (Mediterranean mussel). Lineage: Eukaryota; Metazoa; Mollusca; Bivalvia; Mytilida; Mytilidae. The record is from RNAcentral.
CAGCAAGCAAAUACCAUUGUCACGGUUAUGUAAAGUAUAUACUGUGAUACAUGACUGUGGAUUGUACACAAUGAAGUUAUCUUCCGUGGUUACAUUGUCGAAAAAGACACUUACACACUUACAUGUUUGUACGUAUACUGCUGAGUGCAAUAUGUAAGAACACGGUUUUAACAUUUAGUUAUUUUUUUAAAUAAUGAAUCAGCC